Molecule: ribosomal RNA, 315 nt
Filed under: uncultured bacterium
Lineage: Bacteria
Description: bacterial SSU rRNA
Rfam family: Bacterial small subunit ribosomal RNA
Source: RNAcentral
GAUUUGAUUAUUAAAGUUCCAACGGUAAAGAUGAGUAUGCGUCCCAUUAGCUAGAUGGUAAGGUAACGGCUUACCAUGGCAAUGAUGGGUAGGGGUCCUGAGAGGGAGAUCCCCCACACUGGUACUGAGACACGGACCAGACUCCUACGGGAGGCAGCAGUGAGGAAUAUUGGACAAUGGGCGCAAGCCUGAUCCAGCCAUGCCGCGUGCAGGAUGACGGUCCUAUGGAUUGUAAACUGCUUUUGUACAGGAAGAAACACUACUUCGUGAAGUAGCUUGACGGUACUGUAAGAAUAAGGAUCGGCUAACUCCGUG